GUGCCAGCCGCCGCGGUAAUACGUAUGGAGCGAGCGUUGUCCGGAAUUAUUGGGCGUAAAGGGUGCGCAGGCGGCUUUACAAGUUGGAUGUGAAAUAUUGUGGCUCAACCACAAACGUGCAUCCAAAACUGCAAAGCUUGAGUUAAGGAGAGGUAAGUGGAAUUCCUGGUGUAGCGGUGGAAUGCGUAGAUAUCAGGAGGAAUACCGGUGGCGAAGGCGACUUACUGGACUUAAACUGACGCUCAGGCACGAAAGCGUGGGGAGCAAACAGGAUUAGAAACCCGCGUAGUCC
This 292-nucleotide ribosomal RNA is filed under the name uncultured prokaryote. RNAcentral describes it as "partial 16S ribosomal RNA". It matches the Rfam family "Bacterial small subunit ribosomal RNA", at positions 505 to 796 of the family's 1533-position model. The record is from RNAcentral.